RNAcentral lists this ribosomal RNA (541 nucleotides) under uncultured bacterium. RNAcentral describes it as "partial 16S ribosomal RNA". It matches the Rfam family "Bacterial small subunit ribosomal RNA", at positions 355 to 912 of the family's 1533-position model. The record is from RNAcentral.
UGGGGAAUAUUGGACAAUGGGCGCAAGCCUGAUCCAGCCAUGCCGCGUGAGUGAUGAAGGCCUUAGGGUUGUAAAGCUCUUUCGCCGGUGAAGAUAAUGACGGUAACCGGAGAAGAAGCCCCGGCUAACUUCGUGCCAGCAGCCGCGGUAAUACGAAGGGGGCUAGCGUUGCUCGGAAUCACUGGGCGUAAAGCGCACGUAGGCGGAUCGUUAAGUCAGGGGUGAAAUCCUGGAGCUCAACUCCAGAACUGCCCUUGAUACUGGCGAUCUCGAGUUCGAGAGAGGUUGGUGGAACUCCGAGUGUAGAGGUGAAAUUCGUAGAUAUUCGGAAGAACACCAGUGGCGAAGGCGGCCAACUGGCUCGAUACUGACGCUGAGGUGCGAAAGCGUGGGGAGCAAAACAGGAUUAGAUACCCUGGUAGUCCACGCCGUAAACGAUGGAUGCUAGCCGUUGGGGGGUUUACCUCUCAGUGGCGCAGCUAACGCCUUAAGCAUCCCGCCUGGGGAGUACGGUCGCAAGAUUAAAAACUUAAAUGAAUUG